UACAGAGGUCUCAAGCGUUGUUCGGAUUCAUUGGGCGUAAAGGGUGCGUAGGUGGCGAGGUAAGUUGGAUGUGAAAUCCCGGGGCUCAACCCCGGAACUGCAUUCAAUACUGCCUUGCUAGAGUACUGGAGAGGAGAUUGGAAUUUACGGUGUAGCAGUGAAAUGCGUAGAUAUCGUAAGGAAGACCAGUGGCGAAGGCGGAUCUCUGGACAGUUCCUGACGCUGAGGCACGAAGGUCAGGGGAGCAAACGGG
RNAcentral lists this ribosomal RNA (253 nucleotides) under uncultured bacterium. RNAcentral describes it as "partial 16S ribosomal RNA". It matches the Rfam family "Bacterial small subunit ribosomal RNA", at positions 524 to 776 of the family's 1533-position model. The record is from RNAcentral.